This 464-nucleotide ribosomal RNA is filed under the name uncultured bacterium. Its description in RNAcentral is "partial 16S ribosomal RNA". It matches the Rfam family "Bacterial small subunit ribosomal RNA", at positions 339 to 795 of the family's 1533-position model. The record is from RNAcentral.
CUACGGGAGGCAGCAGUGAGGAAUUUUGCGCAAUGGGGGAAACCCUGACGCAGCAACGCCGCGUGAGUGAAGAAGGCUUUCGGGUCGUAAAGCUCUGUCAGGUGGGAAAAAAGCCUUUUGAUCAAUAGUCAAGAGGUUUGAUGGUACUACUAGAGGAAGCACCGGCUAACUCCGUGCCAGCAGCCGCGGUAAGACGGAGGGUGCAAGCGUUGUUCGGAAUUACUGGGCGUAAAGAGCGUGUAGGCGGUAUGGUAAGUCAGAUGUGAAAGCCCUGGGCUUAACCCAGGAAGUGCAGUUGAUACUGGCAUGCUUGAGUAUGGGAGAGGAGAGUGGAAUUCCCAGUGUAGAGGUGAAAUUCGUAGAGAUUGGGAGGAACACCCGUGGCGAAGGCGACUCUCUGGACCAAUACUGACGCUGAGACGCGAAAGCGUGGGGAGCAAACAGGAUUAGAUACCCGCGUAGUC